GGUGCUUUGUUCGACAAGGAGCCUAUCGCCGUCACCUUGGGUGCAGCCGUCCGGUGGAAGGCGCUCUGCCUUUUUCAGAAGGCGAGGAGGAUCGGCGGAUCCAGCCCCCCCUCCUCUCCAGCAGCUCGGCGGAGACAAAAGAGGAGGUCACCGGGAGAUGCCGAAAGAUCAAAGGAGGAUGGUUGUUGAUGAUUUGUGCUCGUCGGCGGGACGGUGCAAGGUGCAACUCCGACGCGGUUCCUCACCGGUUGGAUGGCGUUCAGGCGCAACCCCGGCGCGCACUGAGUACUGCCUCGGC
Long non-coding RNA from Triticum dicoccoides, 298 nucleotides. RefSeq lists it as uncharacterized. The record is from RefSeq and is a predicted model, not a curated record. The transcript has 3 exons. Lineage: Eukaryota; Viridiplantae; Streptophyta; Magnoliopsida; Poales; Poaceae.